UCGUGCCAACGGCAUAGCUGGGUAGCUAUGUGUGGACGGGAUAAGUGCUGAAAGCAUCUAAGCAUGAAGCCCCCCUCAAGAUGAGAUUUCCCAACUUCGGUUAUAAGAUCCCUCAAAGAUGAUGAGGUUAAUAGGUUCGAGGUGGAAGCAUGGUGACAUGUGGAGCUGACGAAUACUAAUCGAUCGAAGACUUAAUCAA
This 199-nucleotide ribosomal RNA is filed under the name Staphylococcus aureus. RNAcentral describes it as "partial 23S ribosomal RNA". It matches the Rfam family "Bacterial large subunit ribosomal RNA", at positions 2724 to 2925 of the family's 2925-position model. The record is from RNAcentral. Lineage: Bacteria; Bacillati; Bacillota; Bacilli; Caryophanales; Staphylococcaceae. RNAcentral also lists the same sequence under 1 other name.